Molecule: ribosomal RNA, 501 nt
Filed under: uncultured bacterium
Lineage: Bacteria
Description: partial 16S ribosomal RNA
Rfam family: Bacterial small subunit ribosomal RNA
Source: RNAcentral
AUUGAACGCUGGCGGCAGGCUUAACACAUGCAAGUCGAGCGGGGGAAGGUAGCUUGCUACCGGACCUAGCGGCGGACGGGUGAGUAAUGCUUAGGAAUCUGCCUAUUAGUGGGGGACAACAUCUCGAAAGGGAUGCUAAUACCGCAUACGUCCUACGGGAGAAAGCAGGGGUUCUUCGGACCUUGCGCUAAUAGAUGAGCCUAAGUCGGAUUAGCUAGUUGGUGGGGUAAAGGCCUACCAAGGCGACGACCUGUAGCGGGUCUGAGAGGAUGAUCCGCCACACUGGGACUGAGACACGGCCCAGACUCCUACGGGAGGUAGCAGUGGGGAAUAUUGGACAAUGGGGGGAACCCUGAUCCGGCCAUGCCGCGUGUGUGAAGAAGGCCUUAUGGUUGUAAAGCACUUUAAGCGAGGAGGAGGCUACUUUAGUUAAUACCUAGAGAUAGUGGACGUUACUCGCAGAAUAAGCACCGGCUAACUCUGUGCCAGCCGCCGCCGUAA